This 468-nucleotide ribosomal RNA is filed under the name uncultured bacterium. RNAcentral's name for it is "partial 16S ribosomal RNA". It matches the Rfam family "Bacterial small subunit ribosomal RNA", at positions 28 to 507 of the family's 1533-position model. The record is from RNAcentral.
GACGAACGCUGGUGGCGUGCUUAACACAUGCAAGUCGAACGGAAAGGCCCUGCUUUUGUGGGGUGCUCGAGUGGCGAACGGGUGAGUAACACGUGAGUAACCUGCCCUUGACUUUGGGAUAACUUCAGGAAACUGGGGCUAAUACCGGAUAGGAGCUCCUGCUGCAUGGUGGGGGUUGGAAAGUUUCGGCGGUUGGGGAUGGACUCGCGGCUUAUCAGCUUGUUGGUGGGGUAGUGGCUUACCAAGGCUUUGACGGGUAGCCGGCCUGAGAGGGUGACCGGCGACAAUGGGACUGAGAUACGGCCCAGACUCCUACGGGAGGCAACAGUGGGGAAUAUUGCACAAUGGGCGGGAGCCUGAUGCAGCAACGCCGCGUGCGGGAUGACGGCCUUCGGGUUGUAAACCGCUUUCGCCUGUGACGAAGCGUGAGUGACGGUAAUGGGUAAAGAAGCACCGGCUAACUACGUG